Long non-coding RNA from Apis cerana (Asiatic honeybee), 5979 nucleotides. RefSeq lists it as uncharacterized. The record is from RefSeq and is a predicted model, not a curated record. Lineage: Eukaryota; Metazoa; Arthropoda; Insecta; Hymenoptera; Apidae.
ACGGUUAUGAAUAGUGAAGUGAGUGGAUGUAUAAGAUGGAGUAAGAUUUAUUAGUUAUGAAAAAUAAUUUAUUUUUUAAGUGAUUUUGAACCAAAAAAAAAAUAGUUAUUUUAAGAGAAAAUAUAAUUUAUAAUUUUCAUAUUAAUUUGUUAUAUUUGUCGUUUUUAUUUUUAUAUUGAAAAUUAACAGGUUAUAGAUUCAAGUCCAUGCUUGUUGACACGUGCUAAGUAAAAAUUUGAGAAAAAAAUAAUAAAUAAGUGAAUAAUAAAUAAUUUCUUAUAAAAAUAAAAAAAAAUUAAUGGAAUAUAUUACAAAAUUAUAUUACAAAAGAUCAUAGAAUAUUUAAAACAAAUUAAUCGAUAAAUUAAAAAUUAUAAAUGGAUUUAGAAAUUUUGAUUGAAUCUUAUUGAAAUUGCAAGAGAGUUUUUUUGGAUCAGAAUACCACUCAAUCAGAAGAUUGGUCUACAGUGUUACUAGACACUUGUUUACUUCAUUGAAGACCUGCAAGUUUAUGAGUUAAACAUGAGUGAGUUCAUGAGUGAGAACUUUAAAGGAUACCGGGAUUAGGGAGAACUCUUAAAAACGUGCGAGAACUUUAAGAAAAGUAGAAUUACAAAAACAACAAGAACUAUAAAAAACAACAAGAAUCUUCAGAACUUGAACUUUGAAUAUCAUAUGCAUUUUGCCUUUGAUCGUCUGUUCCAGGAACGGAUAUGGCUAAUUUUGGUCUUUCAAAUCGGAUUUAAACGGAGUGAUUUAUGAAUUUAUAACUUGUGAAAUGUAAAAUUUGUAAAAAUCUGUUGCUAUUAUUACAAUAUAAGAACUUUAAGAACAACUUUGAGAGCUUGCUACCAUAUUCAAGUACAUCACACUGUCUGACACCUGCCAGACACUUUAUCUGCAAGGAUGCUUACUUUCUGCCAAACUGCAGAUCAAUGUAUUCUGGGACGCAACAAUUAUGUUCACGCAACAAUUAUGUUCACGCAACAAUACAAAGGAUAUACCAGCUGGGUGACAUCGUCUUGUCCAUUUUAAUCUAUGCUUAUGUCAUAUUUCGAAACUUACGAUCGAACUUUGAUGUCUCUGCGUUUAAAAUUCAAUUAAACAAAAUAAUCUUAAUCUUUGAAGCCUUUAAUGAAGUUUAAAGGGCCAUAGAACAGGUAGAAGAUACAGAAUUUGGAGCAGUUCGAAAUGAUAUCGCAGUACGAGAUGAAUUUGAAAACUCAUACUGCAAAAUCGUGAGUGCUGCCUAGGAGUUUAUAAUAGUCCAAUGACAAGGACCUGAUUCUGUUCGGGCUGUAUCUGUCAUACUUACAUUUACAACUUCAAAUAAUAGUUCUGAUAUACAUUCUAGAAUAAAAUUAUCAAUAAUAAAAUUACCAAUCUUUGAAGGAAAUUAUAAUUUUUGGAUAAAGUUUAGAAACAUAUUUGAAUCAUUAAUAUAUAAUAAUGACGCAUUGACAAAUAUUGAAAAUUUUCACUAUUUGAAUUUAUUUUUCACUGCGACGAAAGUUAUAGUAGUUUCUCAGCAUGUAGUUUCUGAAGAUAACUACAUGAUUGCAUAAAUGGUAUUCAAAAACAAAUUUGAAGACAAAACUCUUGAAACAAAAUCACGUACAUACAUCUUUGGAACAUAUUUGUAUUAAAUAAGGAAUCAUUUUAUGGAGUGAGACGUUUACUAGACAAGACGAACAAUAAUCUAUCUUGGCAUUACAAGCUUCAGAAGAGCCUGUAAAUUCCUGUAAAUCAUUAUUUAUUUGAUAACAACUAAAUUAGAUACAGUAACAAAAGAAGAAUGGAAUUCAAUCGAUUUUAACUCUAAUUAGAUUAAAUUAUCAAAUUUAACAUAAUUUCUGAAAAUCUAAUGUAGAUAUUUAGAGAGAGAAUAACGGCAAAAAAAAACCAUUACUACCAAAUCUUCUAAGUCACAGCUUAUAAACGCAAGUAUUCGAACCCGAAGGAAUAGGUACUCACAUGCCUCACAAAUUCCUUGCUCUUUGAGCAAUAAAUCAUACAAUCUCCCACAAUGCUUCUGAAUUUAAAGCAUUGUCUCUAAGCACGAAUCAUGCAUAUACAAAAAAUAGACGUAUGUUUUAAUUAUCUGAAUACUAGGUAUAGAAACAAAGAAUGUACGCGCGGUUCUUGCAAAAAAUACAAACAUUCUUUUGCAUGUUAGAGAUAGCAAUAAUAGUAGAGUACAAAUUGCAACAUUAAUUGCAUCUCCGACAAUAACAAACAAGAAAACAAAGAAUGAGACACAAAAACCUACAGCCUUAUCAUAUUUUUGCAAUCAUCGAAACAGUAAUUUUGUCUACGGCAAUAGUGAUAAGCAUUAUUAGAUUCAAGUUCUUAGUCAAAUUUUAUAAUUAGUGCAAUGGUAAAGAAACUUGACUUAUUUUGUAUCGAAUCAGACAUAUGCAUUGUGGGAAUUGAAGAUUCCACAUGUAAAGUAUAAUAUAGCAUAUGUUUAGAAAUAGCGUUGAAAUAUAGUUUUUUAUGUCUCUUUUUACCAAACAUAAUUGAAAAUAUACUAAAACCAUCUUUCUAAUUAAACGAGAAAUUAAUGUCAUCUGGACUAAAAUUCGUAGAUUCGCACUUUAAUAAAUCCGAUAGAAUAUACAUGAUAAUCGACGCAGGAUUAUUCUGAGAUCUCCAAUGUAUUGGUUUCAUACUUCUAAAAUGGGUCACUAAUAACAUUAAAUCAUUGGAUUAUGAAGAUCGGAAGUAAGCAUCGAAAUCAAAUUGGAAAAGAAAACAAAAACAUUAGGACUUUUUUAGAAUGCGCAUCAAGAUAAAUUAUAUCAUUUUUUUCAAUAGACUUCAUGUAACGAAAUACAUCAUCCUCUCCGAUAUAUCACAGAUUCGACCCAUUAGGUUUAUUAAGACCAGUUGUUAUUCUACACUCGAAUUGUUGCUGCAACAAUUAUGGCAACUAAAAAUUUCUUAGAACGAAUCUCUUCCUCAGGAUAUUUAUACUUUAUGGAUAAAUUUUCAGAUUGAAUUAAUACUUAAUUAAUAAUUUGAAUUGCAAUCUCCAGAUGAGCUACAACAGAUUACAGAAUAAUCGAAUUACAUGGAUUUUGUGAUGCCUCGGAAAGAGCAUAUGGUGCCUAUAUUUACAUGUACCUACGGUCACAACAUGACAAUGGACAAUAGUAUGUACACUUCCUAUGUGCCAAAUCAAGAAUGACAUCAUUAAGGAAAACUACUUUAUUAUAUUUGGAACUUUGCACUUGCUAUUUGCAUAACUUAUAGAAAACCAUUACCGUGGAAAACCGUCAUAAAUGGAACUACAGAAAUACAAUAAUUAUGAUGUACUAUCUGUUCAAAAUCCAGCCGAUAUAGUUUCUUCAGAUUUUCUUUCAUGGCAAUAUUGAUGGAAUGGACCAGUAUGGUUAUUAUAAGAUGCAAUGGUCACAAACAUAUUUCUAUAUGGGAGAGUUGACGGAGAAAAGACAAUGCAUUCACAUCUUUUCGUUUUCAAUUCAUUAAAAACUUGCGAAGGAGAUUGCAUAAGAAGAAUCUACUCACGAAUGAUUCUUCAUUUGACUCAUUUACUGUACAUAUACGAACUUUUAUAUAUGGGACGCUCUGAUCAAAAUAUCACAAUAAAUGCACUUCAGAAUAAAAAUUCAAAACAUAAGGAACAAUCUAAUUCCAAAAUUCCAAAGAACAAUGUAUCGCACUCCACUUUUAGAUGUUUCUUAGAAAUAGGCGAUAAAUUAAGCAAUACCUCGAUUAAAUUUGAACACAAACAUCCCAUUAUCAUUCAUUCAGACUAUAAGUUAACCAGAUUACUUAUUACACUUAUAGUUAUUACAUGCGAAUCAUUAAAUUGUAGUUUUUUCAUUGCGCAAACUAUUUUGGAUACCAUCUACUAGAAGAAUAGUAAAGAAUAUUGGAUGUUUAAGAUGCUUUCGAGUAAAAUUCAAGGUAAUAACACAAAUAAUGAGUAAUUUACUUAUUUACUCCUGCACUAUUUCUUUAAGUAUCUGCGGGGUGGAUUAUGUAGGUUUGUAUUCAGUUAAGCACAGAAGAUGUACUAAGAUCAAUACUAAGAGUUAUAUCUGUUUAUUCGUAUAUUUCGCAAAAAAAGAGAUUUAUAUUAAAUUAGAUUAAAUUAGAUACAUUGAUUUUAUAAAUGUAUUCCUAAACUUUUUAAGGAGAUUUAUUGCACGUCGAAACCAUGUUUUAUUCGGAUAAACGAUAUCUAUUCGGAUAAUAAAACUAACUUUAUUGGAGUACGAAAUGAAUUACUUGAAUUUAAAAGACUCAUUUGAUACAAAGAAAGAAAUUCAGAAAUAAUAAUUUCUUUUAAAUAAGGAAAUACAAUGGCACAUAAUCCUCGUACACCUUAUUUUGAGAAUUUGUAAGAGAAUUCUAUUAAAUCACCAAAAACUCAUUUGAAGCGAAUAAUCGGGAACGCGAUAUUGACAUGAAUUAUAUAUUGUCUUAUAAGUAGAGACAGUUCUUAAUUCCCACUCUGUAAGCCCCUUAUCAUCCGAUUUCGACAUAAUUCUCCUAAUCUUACUUUCUGGUUGGUGAUUCUCUCCGCCCUCCUUGCACUUGAUCUGCAAAAUAUAACAAUGAAUAGAUCGAACAGAUUCCAGAUCAUUCAAAGGAGUGCACAACAAUUUUGGUAAAAUGAAUAUCUGCACUAACUACAAUGCAACAAAUGAUGUGCAACAUUAGCUAACAAAUUCGGACCCGGUAUGAUGGUUACCAAGGAUGAUCUCUCGUCACUAUAAUGGCGACUAAGACGAAUUCUGGAACUGUAUCUUGGAAAAGACAAAAUCGCUAGGAUAGUAACAAUCAGAACAGUUGAAGGAAUAAUUAAAAGACCGAUGACCAAAGUCUGUAUUUUACCUAUGCACGAAGAUGCAACUCCAUCUACUAUUCCAGGAUGCACAAAUAAAAAAAAAUCACCAAAAGCUAACUCAAUAGGCUCAUGAUAUUUGUUAAUAUAAUCAAUAUAAACUACUUUUUUUUUACUACUUAAAUUAUAAACUACUUUAUUUAAUUUUAGAAUUAUGAGUUGUAAUUUAUAAUGUAUUGUAAGAAUUGAUUUCGCGCAUUUAUUAUCGGAUUGUCAAUAUUGUAUGUAUGAUUAAACGCAAUGCAUUCAAAGUGGGCGGCAUAUUCAGACACUGAAUAAAUGAUGUCCAGAACAGAUUGUUUAAGAUGAUACUACAAGAACAAUGUCGUUUUUGAGAGAAAAAUUUGAUAACCGUUUGCUUUGCACAUUUAAAAACAAUUUGGCAUGGCUGGAGUGUCAAUAUGAUCUUGGAAUUUGAAACAAAAUUUUUAGCUAUGUCAGUUUCAAUAGCAGAAACUUUCUUUGGAUCGGGAUAUCAUUCAAUCAGAAGUUGAUCCGUUAUUGUAUACAACACUUGUGUGUCUCAUUGAAGACCCGAAAAUUCAUGAAUUAAACAUGAUGGCAAGUUCAGAGGAUACCAGGCUUGAAGAGAACUCUUAAAAACGUGCGAGAACUUCAAAAAAGGCAAAAUUAUAAAAAGAAUAAAAACUAUCAAAAACAACAAGAACUUUCAGAACUCUUUAAACUUCGAUAGUAUGGAAUGUCAUUAACAUAUGGACUUUGUGUUUGAUCGUUUGGUGAAUCGAAUUUGUAAACAGCGAAUUUCGUAAGAAUUAUUUUUAUUACUAUAUUUCAUAGCUGCAAAACGAGAUGGAACUAACAGACACUAUAUAAUUAUUUCAAUUAUUUUUAUUAUUAAUGAAUUGAUUCAAAAUUUAUUUUAUCAUAUUUAAUAUUCAAAAGAUUUUCAAGAUAAUGAAAUUUGAUUUUUCAUAUAAAAAAAAAUUUACUUUUUUUUAAAUAAGUUUUCAAAGUCUCCUUCAAUUUUUUUUAUGUAACAUUAUAAUUUUUUUUGUCUAUCAGCAUGUUUAUAUCAAGACGAAUUCAUCAAUAUUAUCGAUAUAAAUAAGCGAUAUAAAAACAAUUUCUUUUUAUCUAAUGAA